CAAACAUGUCUUUUUGAAGUUCUUAAAUGACGUUUUAAAUCUAUUUUAUGUAUGUUGUUUGUUCUGGUGCUGUUGUAUUGCCGAUAGGUGAAAUUAUUAAAUCUGAACUUAUACUCUUAUAUCUGCUUUGUGUCAUGAUAUGACAAAACAGGUUAUCAUGCAUAUGAUGAAGUUUAUCAAUCACUCUUGUAAAUAAUGUCAUUUAGAAUCUUGCUGCCUUUUUCUUGUCAAUGCCUCAAAUGCUUCCAUGAUAUUUGAAAGACAAAUGGUUACCACUAGUUCAAUCUGCUGUUUACUGAAAAGGAAAUUUUUUGUUCAUUAUUUGGAGUUUUCAUAGUUAAGAAAUGAGUUUGGACUUUCAUUGAAAUUUUUGCUCAUUGAAAUUUUUGCACUGACACCAUAGUGCAUUCAUGUCACGAAAAUUCUUUUAGUCUAUCAAAUCAUAAACAUGGUUUCUGUUUUUGUUCCGGCUUAAUAGUUACAAAAAUCUUGGCAUUCAAUUUUAGAUGCAUUUUAUUCUACUUUAAACUAGUAAAGAAGACUUCUCCAUUCAUAGAUA
This 559-nucleotide unclassified non-coding RNA is filed under the name Hevea brasiliensis (rubber tree). Lineage: Eukaryota; Viridiplantae; Streptophyta; Magnoliopsida; Malpighiales; Euphorbiaceae. The record is from RNAcentral.